Molecule: non-coding RNA, 816 nt
Organism: Olsenella sp. HMSC062G07
Lineage: Bacteria; Bacillati; Actinomycetota; Coriobacteriia; Coriobacteriales; Atopobiaceae
Source: Rfam
CGAACGGAGAGUUCGAUCCUGGCUCAGGAUGAACGCUGGCGGCGCGCCUAACACAUGCAAGUCGAACGGUUAAGGCUUCCUCGGAAGCGAAUAGAGUGGCGAACGGCUGAGUAACACGUGGGCAACCUGCCCCUCGCACCGGGACAGCCUCGGGAAACCGUGGUUAAUACCGGAUACUCCGCCGCCCCCGCAUGGGGGCGGCGGGAAAGCCCAGACGGCGAGGGAUGGGCCCGCGGCCUGUUAGCUCGUUGGCGGGGUGACGGCCCACCAAGGCGAUGAUGGGUAGCCGGGUUGAGAGACCGACCGGCCAGAUUGGGACUGAGACACGGCCCAGACUCCUACGGGAGGCAGCAGUGGGGAAUCUUGCACAAUGGGCGAAAGCCUGAUGCAGCGACGCCGCGUGCGGGACGAAGGCCCUCGGGUCGUAAACCGCUUUCAGCAGGGACGAGGCCGAAAGGUGACGGUACCUGCAGAAGAAGCCCCGGCUAACUACGUGCCAGCAGCCGCGGUAAUACGUAGGGGGCGAGCGUUAUCCGGAUUCAUUGGGCGUAAAGCGCGCGUAGGCGGCCUGUCUGGUCGGGAGUCAAAUCCGGGGGCUCAACCCCCGCACGCUCCCGAUACCGGCGGGCUUGAGUCUGGUAGGGGAAGGCGGAAUUCCCGGUGUAGCGGUGGAAUGCGCAGAUAUCGGGAAGAACACCGGUGGCGAAGGCGGCCUUCUGGGCCAAGACUGACGCUGAGGCGCGAGAGCUAGGGGAGCGAACAGGAUUAGAUACCCUGGUAGUCCUAGCCGUAAACGAUGGACACUAGGUGUGGGGG